GGGGCAUUAGCUCAGUUGGGAGAGCGCAUCGUUCGCAACGAUGAGGUCGUCGGUUCGAUCCCGAUAUGCUCCACCA
Molecule: transfer RNA, 76 nt
Filed under: Bacillota bacterium
Lineage: Bacteria; Bacillati; Bacillota
Also listed under: 1 other name
Description: tRNA-Ala
Rfam family: tRNA
About the family: Transfer RNA (tRNA) molecules are approximately 80 nucleotides in length.
Source: RNAcentral